Molecule: long non-coding RNA, 2699 nt
Filed under: Salmo salar (Atlantic salmon)
Lineage: Eukaryota; Metazoa; Chordata; Actinopteri; Salmoniformes; Salmonidae
Description: lncRNA (ENSSSAG00000121266.1)
Rfam family: UnaL2 LINE 3' element (bases 424-477)
Source: RNAcentral
CCUCCGCUCUCUCCACUGGCUUCCAGUUGAAGCUCGCAUCCGCUACAAGACCAUGGUGAUUGCCUACGGAGCUGUGAAGGGAACGGCACCUCCAUACCUUCAGGCUCUGAUCAGGCCCUACACCCAAACAAGGGCACUGCGUUCAUCCACCUCUGGCCUGCUGGCCCCCCUACCUCUGAGGAAGCACAGUUCCCGCUCAGCCCAGUCAAAACUGUUCGCUGCUCUGGCACCCCAAUGGUGGAACAAGCUGCCUCACGACGCUAGGACAGCGGAGUCAAUCACCACCUUCCGGAGACACCUGAAACCCCACCUCUUUAAGGAAUACGUUGGAUAGGAUAAAGUAAUCCUUCUAACCCCCCCCUCCCCUUAAAAGAUUUAGAUGCACUAUUGUAAAGUGGUUGUUCCACUGGAUAUCAUAAGGUGAAUGCACCAAUUUGUAAGUCGCUCUGGAUAAGAGCGUCUGCUAAAUGACUUAAAUGUUAAUGUUAAAUCUCAAAUAAAACUGUGAAGGACCUCGGUGUUACUCUGGACCCUGAUCUCUCUUUUGAAGAACAUAUCAAGACUGUUUCAAGGACAGCUUUUUUCCAUUUGCGUAACAUUGCAAACCUAACCUACAAAGCAUUACAUGGGCUUGCUCCUACAGAUCUUUCCGAUUUACUCCUGCCGUACAUACCUACACGUACACUACGGUCACAAGACGCAGGCCUCCUAAUUGUCCUUAGAAUUGCUAAGCAAACAGCUGGAGGCAGGGCUUUCUCCUAUAGAGCUCCAUUUUUAUGGAAUGGUCUGCCUACCCAUGUGGGAGACGCAGACUCGAUCUCAACCUUAAAGUCUUUACUGAAGACUCAUCUCUUCAGUGGGUCCUAUGAUUGAGUGUAGUCUGGCCCAGGAGUGUGAAGGUGAAGGUGAACGGAAAGGCUCUGGAGCAACGAACCGCCCUUGCUGUCUUUGCCUGGCCGGUUCCCCUCUCUCCACUGGGUUUCUCUGCCUCUAACCCUAUUACAGGGGCUGAGUCACUGGCUUACUGGUGCUCUUCCAUGCCGUCCCUAGGCGGGGUGCAUCACUUGAGUGGGUUGAGUUACUGACGUGGUCUUCCUGUCUGGGUUGGCACCCCCCCCCCCCUUGGGUUGUGCCGUGGCGGAGAUCUUUGUGGGCUAUACUCGGCCUUGUCUCAGGAUGAGGACCUAAGCCCUAGGACCAUGCCUCAGGACUACCUGGCAUGAUGACUCCUUGCUGUCCCCAGUCCACCUGGCCAUGCUGCUGCUCCAGUUUCAACUGUUCUGCCUGCGGCUACAGUUGCGGUCCCUGACCUGUUCACCGGACGUGCUACCUGUCCCAGACCUGCUGUUUUCAACUCUCUAGAGACAGCAGGAGCGGUAGAGAUACUCUCAAUGAUCGGCUAUGAAAAGCCAACUGACAUUUACUCUUGAGGUGCUGACUUGUUGCACCCUCGACAACUACUGUGAUUAUUAUUAUUUGACCAUGCUGGUCAUUUAUGAACAUUUGAACAUCUUGGCCAUGUUCUGUUAUAAUCUCCACCCGGCACAGCCAGAAGAGGACUGGCCACCCCUCAUAGCCUGGUUCCUCUCUAGGUUUCUUCCUAGGUUUAGGCCUUUCUAGGGAGUUUUUCCUAGCCACCGUGCUUCUACACCUGCAUUACUUGCUGUGUUAUAGUGUGUUUUUUUCUAGAAGAUUUUGUCAUUUUCUAAAAAAUAACAUUUAUUUGUUAUCUAAUCAAACAUGUAGCCCAGCUGAAAUCACUCCAGUAUUGUUUUCCUUCAAGAUAAUGAGGAAAUGUACAACUAUCAGUCACUUGAUUUUUUAAAUCUCCAUUUGGCAAAUAACCCAGAGUCAGUAAAUCCAACUCUUAACGUUAGUAACACAUGGCCAUGUUUCAAGGUCGUGUACACAGUGAAAUCCAGACCACAUAACCACAUGACCACAUGACAGAUAUGAAACUGAGGUGAGAGUAUUAUUUUUCGUGAUGGCAUCACAGCAUCAGAACUGCAUUAUUUUCUAAAGAAGUCUAUUGAUUAACAUUAAGCCAGAGUCUAUAUAAUUAUAACAAAAACAGACUGAAGCUCCCACACACUCCCCUUAGCUCAGAGAGGAGGAAAAAUACUAAUCAGAUUUAUUGCAGGGUAGCUUUAUAAUUAUUUACUCCAUUAGCCAUUAGUGGUCGACACAAAGUGCACUGGCUCGCAAAAUUAGAAUCCUUAUCUGAAUGUUCCAGAAACUUCACUGUAUCCUUCGCUAGAAUGUGUAAAUUGAAUAGGAUAGCUGCCUACCCUGUACAGGAAGAGGAGACAUUGAGGACAUUCCAAUAUCAGGACAUUUCGGGAUGUUUAAAUGUGGUGGCAUUUAACAGAGUUGCAGAGUGUUGAAUGCACCCCCACUGGUGUACUCACCCAUGAGAAACUAGUUGGGAUAUUACCUAUUGAGAAACCAGUCAGGACAUUACCUAUUGAGAAACCAGUUGGGACAUUACCUAUUAAUAAAGCAGUCAGGAUAUUACCUAUUGAGAAACCAGUCGGGAUAUUACCUAUUGAGAAACCAGUCGGGAUAUUACCUAUUGAGAAACCAGUCAGGACAUUACCUAUUAAUAAAGCAGUCAGGAUAUUACCUAUUGAGAAACCAGUCGGGACAUUACCUAUUGAGAAGCUAGUUGGGACAUUGCCCAUCGAGAAACCAGUCGGGAC